Molecule: transfer RNA, 76 nt
Filed under: Bacillota bacterium
Lineage: Bacteria; Bacillati; Bacillota
Also listed under: 3 other names
Description: tRNA-Thr
Rfam family: tRNA
About the family: Transfer RNA (tRNA) molecules are approximately 80 nucleotides in length. Their secondary structure includes four short double-helical elements and three loops (D, anti-codon, and T loops). Further hydrogen bonds mediate the characteristic L-shaped molecular structure. tRNAs have two regions of fundamental functional importance: the anti-codon, which is responsible for specific mRNA codon recognition, and the 3' end, to which the tRNAs corresponding amino acid is attached (by aminoacyl-tRNA synthetases). tRNAs cope with the degeneracy of the genetic code in two manners: having more than one tRNA (with a specific anti-codon) for a particular amino acid; and 'wobble' base-pairing, i.e. permitting non-standard base-pairing at the 3rd anti-codon position.
Source: RNAcentral
GCCAGCUUAGCUCAGUUGGUAGAGCAGCUGAUUUGUAAUCAGCAGGUCGUCGGUUCAAGUCCGACAGCUGGCUCCA